This 68-nucleotide transfer RNA is filed under the name Marmota monax (woodchuck). Its description in RNAcentral is "tRNA.Ala". The record is from RNAcentral. Lineage: Eukaryota; Metazoa; Chordata; Mammalia; Rodentia; Sciuridae.
GGAUUGUAGCUCAGAGGUAGAGCGUUCGUUUAGCAUGUGCGAGGCCCUGGGUUCGAUCCUCAGCACCA